CUUUGACUACUACUACUGGACUAUCCCAAGGAGGUGAAAGAUAGUAAGGAAAAGUCUUAGGUUUGUUGUGGCUCAUAAAUGUGAAAUGUUACUAGCAUUUGACUUCUUGAUUACUCCUGACAACCCGACCCAGAAAGUAGAGAAAUUUCAAGCAUCUUCUGACUGGUUGAUGGAUUCUGGUAGGCUCCCAAGGGAGCACUCUUGCACAUGUGUACAGACAACUCUGCACCUAAGAUCUGGGAAGGCUUGAUGGUCUGAACUGGAGUGACGGUGCCAAUUAGGCUAGUGAACACGAUCCGAGGGAGAUCUUCGACAGAAGCCGUCUACCUGCUCUUUGUGCUAAGCCGGGGAGGCAGGGAAGGAAGGGAUUGUGUUGGGGAAGAACACAUUAGACCAAAAUAACCACUUGCACUGCCCAUCCUGAGUAGUGUGUCUCCAUAAUUAGGAGGAGGAGUGCCCUUCUGUGGGGUAGAGAAGCCUGUAAGAAGAAGCUUUACGUUAAGCUAGCAUACAUCAAAAAUAAUUGACAAUGGUUAGGCUUCAUUGUAGAGACGGCUGCUCUGGCAUUGCAACCACCAGCCCACCACCCACCUA
Molecule: long non-coding RNA, 594 nt
Filed under: Monodelphis domestica (gray short-tailed opossum)
Lineage: Eukaryota; Metazoa; Chordata; Mammalia; Didelphimorphia; Didelphidae
Description: lncRNA (ENSMODG00000049024.1)
Source: RNAcentral